This 299-nucleotide unclassified non-coding RNA is filed under the name uncultured fungus. Its description in RNAcentral is "partial contains 5.8S ribosomal RNA, internal transcribed spacer 2, and large subunit ribosomal RNA". The stretch from base 1 to 52 matches the Rfam family "5.8S ribosomal RNA", at positions 103 to 154 of the family's 154-position model. The record is from RNAcentral. Lineage: Eukaryota; Fungi.
AACGCACCUUGCGCUCCCUGGUAUUCCGGGGAGCAUGCCUGUUUGAGUGUCAUUAAAUUCUCAACCCCGAUCGGAUUUGUUUUCGCAUUCGGAGGCUUGGAUAGUGGAGCGUGCUGGCCCCCUCUCAUGGGUCGGCUCCUCUCAAAUGCAUUCGCGGAAUCGACUUUGGUCCGUUUCGGUCAUCAGUGUGAUAAAUGUUGCGCUGUUGGCUAGGAUCGAGGUGCCGCAUACAAUGGUCUUCGGACAAUUUUAUAAACAAAUUUGACCUCAAAUCAGGUAGGACUACCCGCUGAACUUAA